AUUGAACGCUGGCGGCAUGCCUUACACAUGCAAGUCGAACGGCAGCACGGGUGCUUGCACCUGGUGGCAAGUGGCGAACGGGUGAGUAAUACAUCGGAACAUGUCCUGUAGUGGGGGAUAGCCCGGCGAAAGCCGGAUUAAUACCGCAUACGAUCUACGGAUGAAAGCGGGGGACCUUCGGGCCUCGCGCUAUAGGGUUGGCCGAUGGCUGAUUAGCUCGUUGGUGGGGUAAAGGCCUACCAAGGCGACGAUCAGUAGCUGGUCUGAGAGGACGACCAGCCACACUGGGACUGAGACACGGCCCAGACUCCUACGGGAGGCAGCAGGGGGGAAUUUUGGACAAUGGGCGAAAGCCUGAUCCAGCAAUGCCGCGUGUGUGAAGAAGGCCUUCGGGUUGUAAAGCACUUUUGUCCGGAAAGAAAUCCUUGGCCCUAAUACGGUCGGGGGAUGACGGUACCGGAAGAAUAAGCACCGGCUAACUACGU
This 485-nucleotide ribosomal RNA is filed under the name uncultured bacterium. RNAcentral's name for it is "partial 16S ribosomal RNA". It matches the Rfam family "Bacterial small subunit ribosomal RNA", at positions 30 to 506 of the family's 1533-position model. The record is from RNAcentral.